AUUGAACGCUGGCGGCAUGCCUUACACAUGCAAGUCGAACGGCAGCACGGGAGCAAUCCUGGUGGCGAGUGGCGAACGGGUGAGUAAAGUAUCGGAACGUGCCCAGUCGUGGGGGAUAACGUAGCGAAAGUUACGCUAAUACCGCAUACGAUCUAUGGAUGAAAGCGGGGGAUCGCAAGACCUCGCGCGAUUGGAGCGGCCGAUAUCAGAUUAGGUAGUUGGUGGGGUAAAGGCUCACCAAGCCGACGAUCUGUAGCUGGUCUGAGAGGACGACCAGCCACAGUGGGACUGAGACACGGCCCAGACGCCUACGGGAGGCAGCAGUGGGGAAGUUUGGACAAUGGGCGCAAGCCUGAUCCAGCCAUGCCGCGUGCAGGAUGAAGGCCUUCGGGUUGUAAACUGCUUUUGUACGGAACGAAAAGGUUUGACUUAAUACGUUGGACUCAUGACGGUACCGUAAGAAUAAGCACCGGCUAACUACGUGCCAGCCGCCGCGGUAA
This 500-nucleotide ribosomal RNA is filed under the name uncultured bacterium. RNAcentral's name for it is "partial 16S ribosomal RNA". It matches the Rfam family "Bacterial small subunit ribosomal RNA", at positions 30 to 523 of the family's 1533-position model. The record is from RNAcentral.